RNAcentral lists this ribosomal RNA (912 nucleotides) under uncultured bacterium. RNAcentral describes it as "bacterial SSU rRNA". It matches the Rfam family "Bacterial small subunit ribosomal RNA", at positions 516 to 1427 of the family's 1533-position model. The record is from RNAcentral.
CGCGGUAAUACGUAGGGGGCAAGCGUUGUCCGGGAAUGACUGGGCGUAAAGCGCGCGCAGGCGGUCUGAUACGUCUGGGGUGAAAGUCCAGGGCUCAACCCUGGGAUGGCCUUGGAAACGGUUGGACUUGAGGGUCGGAGAGGUCAGGGGAAUUCCACGUGUAGCGGUGAAAUGCGUAGAGAUGUGGAGGAAUACCAGUGGCGAAGGCGCCUGACUGGACGAAACCUGACGCUGAGGCGCGAAGGCGUGGGGAGCAAACAGGAUUAGAUACCCUGGUAGUCCACGCGGUAAACGAUGAGUGCUAGGUGUCGGAGGGUACCACCUCCGGUGCCGAAGGAAACCCAAUAAGCACUCCGCCUGGGGAGUACGGUCGCAAGACUGAAACUCAAAGGAAUUGACGGGGGCCCGCACAAGCAGUGGAGCAUGUGGUUUAAUUCGAAGCAACGCGAAGAACCUUACCAGGGCUUGACAUCCCCCUGACGGGGCUAGAGAUAGUCCGUCCCUUCGGGGCAGGGGAGACAGGUGGUGCAUGGUUGUCGUCAGCUCGUGUCGUGAGAUGUUGGGUUAAGUCCCGCAACGAGCGCAACCCUUGAUCUGUGUUACCAGCACGUAAUGGUGGGGACUCACAGAUGACUGCCGGUGACAAACCGGAGGAAGGCGGGGAUGACGUCAAAUCAUCAUGCCCCUUAUGUCCUGGGCGACACACGUGCUACAAUGGACGGUACAGAGGGAAGCGAGACCGCGAGGUGGAGCCAACCCCAAAAAGCCGUUCGUAGUUCGGAUUGCAGGCUGCAACUCGCCUGCAUGAAGCCGGAAUUGCUAGUAAUCGCGGAUCAGCAUGCCGCGGUGAAUACGUUCCCGGGCCUUGUACACACCGCCCGUCACACCACGAGAGUGGGUAACACCCGAAGU